RNAcentral lists this ribosomal RNA (1343 nucleotides) under uncultured bacterium. RNAcentral's name for it is "16S ribosomal RNA". It matches the Rfam family "Bacterial small subunit ribosomal RNA", at positions 28 to 1378 of the family's 1533-position model. The record is from RNAcentral.
GACGAACGCUGGCGGCGUGCUUAACACAUGCAAGUCGAACGGAAAGGCCCUGCUUUUGUGGGGUGCUCGAGUGGCGAACGGGUGAGCAACACGUGAGUAACCUGCCCUUGACUUUGGGAUAACUUCAGGAAACUGGGGCUAAUACCGGAUAGGAGCUCCUGCUGCAUGGUGGGGGUUGGAAAGUUUCGGCGGUUGGGGAUGGACUCGCGGCUUAUCAGCUUGUUGGUGGGGUAGUGGCUUACCAAGGCUUUGACGGGUAGCCGGCCUGAGAGGGUGACCGGCCACAUUGGGACUGAGAUACGGCCCAGACUCCUACGGGAGGCAGCAGUGGGGAAUAUUGCACAAUGGGCGGAAGCCUGAUGCAGCAACGCCGCGUGCGGGAUGACGGCCUUCGGGUUGUAAACCGCUUUCGCCUGUGACGAAGCGUGAGUGACGGUAAUGGGUAAAGAAGCACCGGCUAACUACGUGCCAGCAGCCGCGGUGAUACGUAGGGUGCGAGCGUUGUCCGGAUUUAUUGGGCGUAAAGGGCUCGUAGGUGGUUGAUCGCGUCGGAAGUGUAAUCUUGGGGCUUAACCCUGAGCGUGCUUUCGAUACGGGUUGACUUGAGGAAGGUAGGGGAGAAUGGAAUUCCUGGUGGAGCGGUGGAAUGCGCAGAUAUCAGGAGGAACACCAGUGGCGAAGGCGGUUCUCUGGGCCUUUCCUGACGCUGAGGAGCGAAAGCGUGGGGAGCGAACAGGCUUAGAUACCCUGGUAGUCCACGCUGUAAACGGUGGGUACUAGGUGUGGGGUCCAUUCCACGGGUUCCGUGCCGUAGCUAACGCUUUAAGUACCCCGCCUGGGGAGUACGGCCGCAAGGCUAAAACUCAAAGGAAUUGACGGGGCCCCGCACAAGCGGCGGAGCAUGCGGAUUAAUUCGAUGCAACGCGUAGAACCUUACCUGGGUUUGACAUGGAUCGGGAGUGCUCAGAGAUGGGUGUGCCUCUUUUGGGGUCGGUUCACAGGUGGUGCAUGGCUGUCGUCAGCUCGUGUCGUGAGAUGUUGGGUUAAGUCCCGCAACGAGCGCAACCCUUGUUCACUGUUGCCAGCACGUUAUGGUGGGGACUCAGUGGAGACCGCCGGGGUCAACUCGGAGGAAGGUGGGGAUGACGUCAAGUCAUCAUGCCCCUUAUGUCCAGGGCUUCACGCAUGCUACAAUGGCUGGUACAGAGAGUGGCGAGCCUGUGAGGGUGAGCGAAUCUCGGAAAGCCGGUCUCAGUUCGGAUUGGGGUCUGCAACUCGACCUCAUGAAGUCGGAGUCGCUAGUAAUCGCAGAUCAGCAACGCUGCGGUGAAUACGUUCCCGGG